GUCGAACGGAUAUCUUCGGAUAUGAGUGGCGAACGGGUGAGUAACACGUAGCGUUUCUGCCUGCAUGAGCGGGAGAACUUCUGGAAACGGAAGCUGAUACCGGAUGAGCAAAGAGGAGGCAUCUUCUUUUUGGAAAAGGGGACAAGAGUCCCGCAUGCAGAUGGACCUGCGGUGCAUUAGCUGGUUGGAGAGGUAACGGCUCACCAAGGCGACGAUGCAUAGCCGGCCUGAGAGGGCGGACGGCCACACUGGGACUGAGACACGGCCCAGACUCCUGCGGGAGGCAGCAGUAGGGAAUUUUCGUCAAUGGGGGGAACCCUGAACGAGCAAUGCCGCGUGAGCGAGGAAGGUCUUCGGAUCGUAAAGCUCUGUUGCCGGGGACAAAAGGCAGAAAGAGUGGAAAGCUUUCUGAGUGAUGGUACCCGGCGAGGAAGUCACGGCUAACUACGUGCCAGCAGCCGCGGUAAUACGUAGGUGGCGAGCGUUAUCCGGAAUGAUUGGGCGUAAAGGGUGCGCAGGCGGCCGGGCAAGUCCGCAGUAAAAACUGGAGGCUCAACCUUCAGGGGCUGCGGAAACUGUCCGGCUGGAGAGCAGGAGAGGACGGUGGAACUCCAUGUGUAGCGGUAAAAUGCGUAGAUAUAUGGAAGAACACCGGUGGCGAAGGCGGCCGUCUGGCCUGCAUCUGACGCUGAGGCACGAAAGCGUGGGGAGCAAAUAGGAUUAGAUACCCUAGUAGUCCACGCUGUAAACGAUGAGGACC
This 760-nucleotide ribosomal RNA is filed under the name uncultured bacterium. RNAcentral's name for it is "bacterial SSU rRNA". It matches the Rfam family "Bacterial small subunit ribosomal RNA", at positions 61 to 817 of the family's 1533-position model. The record is from RNAcentral.